UGGGGAAUAUUGCACAAUGGGGGCAACCCUGAUCCAGCAAUGCCGCGGGUGUGAAGAAGGCCUUCGGGUUGUAAAGCACUUUUAUCGGGAACGAAACAUUGUCGGCCAAUACCCGGCAAGACUGACGGUACCCGAGGAAUAAGCACCGGCUAACUCCGUGCCAGCAGCCGCGGUAAUACGGAGGGUGCAAGCGUUAAUCGGAAUUACUGGGCGUAAAGCGUGCGCAGGCGGUUUGUUAAGUCUGCUGUGAAAUCCCCGAGCUCAACUUGGGAAUUGCAGUGGAUACUGGCAAGCUGGAGUACGGUAGAGGAAGGUGGAAUUCCCGGUGUAGCAGUGAAAAUGCGUAGAGAUCGGGAGGAACACCAGUGGCGAAGGCGGCCUUCUGGACCAGUACUGACGCUCAUGCACGAAAGCGUGGGGAGCAAACAGGAUUAGAUACCC
RNAcentral lists this ribosomal RNA (441 nucleotides) under uncultured bacterium. RNAcentral describes it as "bacterial SSU rRNA". It matches the Rfam family "Bacterial small subunit ribosomal RNA", at positions 355 to 787 of the family's 1533-position model. The record is from RNAcentral.